Aotus nancymaae (Ma's night monkey) is the source of this 74-nucleotide microRNA precursor. Lineage: Eukaryota; Metazoa; Chordata; Mammalia; Primates; Aotidae. The record is from Ensembl.
GUGAUGACUGUCCCCACCUCUUCCUCUCGGUCCCAUAUUGAACUCGAGUUGGAAGAGGCGAGUCCGGUCUCAAA